UAUCAUAAUGUACUUCCUUUCAAUACUAUACACAGCAGGAACAGAUCUCUAAAACCAAAAGAACGUAAAUUAUCCAAGUCUCAAGAUCAUAUCAGGCAUGUAUUCAUACACUGAUACACAUUUCUAUACACAUACUUAGAUCCGAGUAUACAGUUUGCAAUUUCUACUCUCCAAUCAAUGACUACAUCCAUAUUUAACCUGUGCAGCAUAGGUCAUACCUUACUUAAUUACCCCCAUGGUGAGUUGCCGAACUUAACCCCAAAUAUCAACAUAAUUUGUUGAGAUCCAGACCCAGCCUGGCCUGCCUUCCAAGUCAAAGGUCAACCCCUUACUUGGGCUUCAGGAGUUAUGCUGGAUCAUGGGUUUCCAGGUGAGAAUAUGAAUAAUUAAAUAUUUCUGACUGUCUGGGCAUGUACAUUAUUCUAUUAAGUUUAUGUAUCAGCAACAAUUGUCAAAUAAGAAUAUAAAUACAUCAAAUAGCAACAAACAGUAGAAGAAAAAUAAAAAAAUUUGGGCCAAGUUGGCUUUAACCAUCAUGUCCAAGCCUGGCCCAUUUAUUAAACAAAUCUAUUUCCCAGACUUGGCCGAGCAUGUGGAGUCUAAAAAUUUGUCCUCAGGCUGUCCAAAAGGUUUUGGGCUUCAGCAGGCCAAGCAGGGCCGCCCAACAAACAGGCAACGUUUAAUAUUAUUAGAAGGAGAAAUUCUUUGUGCACCAUGAGCGGUGCAGAACAUCCGCACCAUUUGUGGUGAAUGGCUCACAUGCAGGGCCAGAGUGCAGCACAUAAAAAAUAUUUUUUUUCUUUCUAUCCUGUAUAUGAGUCAAUCAUCAUGGAUGAUACGUGCGGUUCUGCAUCGUCCAUGGUGUUUAAAGAAUUUCACUUAUUAGAAAAAAAAAUAGAUAAUGUUGAAGAAACUUUAACAAGAGAUCACAUUCGAAGAAAAGCCCAGGUGCCAUGGCAAAAAAACAUCCGGCGAUAAUGAGUGUUGGAAAAUUAAUAAUAAGCAAAAGAUAUAUAAAAUAAAUUAUAUAUAAUUUUUUUUAAAUAAUAAAAUAUUAAAUUGAGAAGAUUAAAGAGUGAUCUAAAAUCGAGGCACAUCUAAAAACGCUAUCUUAGAACCGAUAUCGCCUCCUACGUACAAAGCUAUUGGCUGCUGCUCCUAAAGAUCAUUCGGUAGAUGACUACUUAUUUUUCUCCGUCAACACGACACCAAGAAGGCUGGAUACAAACUUAAGAAGCCUUCGGAGCCCAGCAAAAUAGGAGAAUAAGACAAUAGAAUCUUUUGUAUAUGAUUUUCCUCCCAUUCUAACCAAUAUAUACAGUAACUACAACAGAGAAAAGUUCGGAAUCUUUUUUUUGGCAACGGCUUUUUGUAAUCCCCAGCUGCUUUUGCCGGGAUUUGAGGUGAAUGGAAGUGGCAACCAGCAAGUAGCCUACAGCCUAUAGCCUCUAGAGGUUGUGUGCAGAAAUGAUGAGAUUGCCCACGCUAGUCUGGUCAGCUAAAAGGAAAAGCUUAUUGGAAAAUUUAUAUAAAUUACGUUCCAUUUUAUUUAGUUUUCUUUUUUCUCGCUGAACAUAGCCCUCCACAAAUUUACGGUAUGGUACUACUUUGAUCGACUAAAGAAGGCUCCAAUUUAUACCAAAAAAAAAAAAGGAAAGAAAGGCUCCAAUUCACUUACCGGUAAAUCUCUUGAUAAUCAAAUUUACUAGGAGUUAGAUUCCUUAUUUAAAUUUUGUGGACAAUUAUCAAUAUAGUGUCCAAUCUUCUGAUAGAUUUUACAUUUUCUUAUCUGACAAUUGACUAUGUAGUAACCAGGCAUGUGACAAUACUUACAAACUAUCUAAUCUACAACAAUUUGUAGAAGUGUACUAAGAACAGCCUUUGUGCUUGGAUUUGAGUAAGCCAAGUCUUGCUUUUUCGAAGAUAAGUUUAGACACAACAGAUUCAAGAGAUGGCAAGAUACCAUAAUGAAGAAGUGGUGGCCUUACUGGUUCAAAAUUAUCUCUAAGAGCUCUUUAGAAAGCAAAUUUUUCAACAUUAUUGUUAUGCCAUACUGAGGCUUAGAUUAUGUUGACUAAUCCCACAUAGCAUGCAUUUUAGAAAGAAACUCAUGAACAGAUCCUAUCUAGGUUCUUGGUUCAUGUGGUGUAGGUAAACAACAGUUGAUACUAAUGGACGAUAAUCGCGAUGGAAUACCUCUUAGCCAAGAAAUCCCAAAGCUCCUUGCUUGUUCCAAAUUAACCAAACUAAAGAUGAAUGGAAGGAAACAAAGUAAUCCUGGACAAAAGGAAGCUCCAUAACAACCUUCCUAAUAGAAGGAGUCAAAUAAGGAAGCUCCAAUAAAUAAAUUACUCUCAAGUCUUUUGGAUAAUCUCAUUAGAUCUUGUCUUACAUGGGCAAUCAAAUGGAAUAAAAUAUCAUUAAUGAUUAAAAAAAAAUAUUCACAAGUUACAUAAAGCAAGGUAUAAAUGAUAAAAUUAAAAAAAUAAUAUUAAUAAGAUCACUAUUUAUUUAAAAUUUUAAAUCACAAAAGAAUUACUAAAUCCAACAAUAAGCACCUCCUCCUGGGGAUGGGAAAUUCCUAAAUGAACUCUACUCACCUUCCCUAUGCGCCAUGCCGACCCCCUCACGCGGGCUUCUGUCAAACAACUCAUCUAACCGGGCUUUCUCUAAGGCUUGUGCAUGUCGAAGGUGAAUGCAUGGUGGCCUUUAUAUGAUGAGAGCUGCAUCGAUUCUGCCCUUGGGGCCUUUGCUCCCCCUUCCCAAGGGGGAGGGAGAGGGAAAGAGGGGCCUCUCCCUCUCGCUCUCCCCGGGGGAAGGGAAAGAAUCGUCAAGGAGGAGCUUCCACUGCAUUGACCCACAGGCAAAAGAGUACAUGGAUCUUAUCCAAAAAAAAUUUAAAAAAAAAAAGAGAGAGAGUAUAUGGAUCAGCACAAGGGACCGUUUGCUUCCCCUGGCCCCUAAUCCUCUCCCUGGGGAGCAG
This 2983-nucleotide long non-coding RNA is filed under the name Elaeis guineensis (African oil palm). RNAcentral's name for it is "long non-coding RNA (EGUI_LNC022627)". Lineage: Eukaryota; Viridiplantae; Streptophyta; Magnoliopsida; Arecales; Arecaceae. The record is from RNAcentral.